GAUGAACGCUGACAGAAUGCUUAACACAUGCAAGUCAACUUGAAUUUGGGUUUUUAACUUAGGUUUGGGUGGCGGACGGGUGAGUAACGCGUAAAGAACUUGCCUCACAGCUAGGGACAACAUUUGGAAACGAAUGCUAAUACCUAAUAUUAUGAUAAUAGGGCAUCCUAUAAUUAUGAAAGCUAUAAGCGCUGUGAGAGAGCUUUGCGUCCCAUUAGCUAGUUGGAGAGGUAACGGCUCACCAAGGCGAUGAUGGGUAGCCGGCCUAAGAGGGUGAUCGGCCACAAGGGGACUGAGACACGGCCCUUACUCCUACGGGAGGCAGCAGUGGGGAAUAUUGGACAAUGGACCGAGAGUCUGAUCCAGCAAUUCUGUGUGCACGAUGAAGUUUUUCGGAAUGUAAAGUGCUUUCAGUUGGGAAGAAACAAAUGACGGUACCAACAGAAGAAGUGACGGCUAAAUACGUG
RNAcentral lists this ribosomal RNA (467 nucleotides) under uncultured bacterium. RNAcentral describes it as "partial 16S ribosomal RNA". It matches the Rfam family "Bacterial small subunit ribosomal RNA", at positions 28 to 507 of the family's 1533-position model. The record is from RNAcentral.